This 338-nucleotide long non-coding RNA is filed under the name Elaeis guineensis (African oil palm). RNAcentral's name for it is "long non-coding RNA (EGUI_LNC045279)". The record is from RNAcentral. Lineage: Eukaryota; Viridiplantae; Streptophyta; Magnoliopsida; Arecales; Arecaceae.
GCCAUCUCAACAUAAUUCCAAUAGCAACCUUCGGCUUUUAUUCAUCAAUCCAUAGCUUUAUACAUAUCGCUUUAAAGCAUAGUACAUUAAUAUUUUCUGAAUUGAACAACCCCAACAUACAUUAUAACCCAACAUGCUCCUCUCACUAGCUAAUAUGCCCAGAAAUGAGAUGCUUCUCUUAGUAAGCUGAUAUGCCAAACUUCUUCUAUAAGAGUGCAAAUGAUGAUGCUGAUGCUUUACUUCUAUGCUUAGCUCAGAGGCUUUAAAUUUGAAAUCAAAAGAAGUAAGGGGGAUGAGACCUAAGUCUUAGUGAGUGAAUAAUCCAUCUAACUAUGGAG